ACCUUCACCAACAUCAGCACCAAGAAUCCUCAAGGUUCAAAGACUCUGGACAACAUCUGGAUCAGUGAAACCUUGAAGAAGGUUUUCACAGGUCACUGGGCUGUCGUGAGAGAGGGCCUCAUGAACCCUUGGAUUCCAGAUGACUGGUCCUGGGGCGGAGUGGCUUCCGAACACUGCCCCGUGCUGGCAGAGUUUUACACGGAGAAGGAUUGGAACAGGAAGGAAGGCGCCCGGAACAGCAGCGGGGUCACCCUGGAGCGAAGUGAAGCCAACAUUAAGCACGAGCAGUGAUGACAAUGAACCGGGUUUCCACCCUUGGACCCCGGAGGCCAGGAGCUCCCCCUCCCCGGUGAAGAUGCAGAGCGCCAGGAACUGUAGUUUCAUCUUCAUUCUGACCACGUCCGCGCCCGGGCCUGGACCCGCCUGCCAUCUUGGCGGAUGUGUUUGGACCUCUGGCAGGGGCGGGAGCACGCUGGGCCCUUGAAGUGCUGGAUGGUCAGAUCAGAAGCCCAGCAGAGAACGGAAAUGUGUGCCAUCUGCGGUUGCCGCCAAUCUCAGCCCACCGGCUGGCCACGCCCGCUGCCUGGACCGCAGCCCGGAGAGGAGCAGCUGCGGCGGCCGAGCAGCAGGGAGUGGGAGAUGCCCGGCCGCCGGGACCUGCCCGAGGGCUGCCGGGAGCUCUCCUCUCUGCCCACCAGUCUGCGAUGUUCUGGCUGCAGAUCACAUAAAGCUUUUAACUUGAGCAAUCUUCUCAAACAUUUUGAGUGGUGGCUUUUAGUUUUGUUUUGAAAAAAAACAGAGAUGAACCAGCCUGGCUGCAGUGAAAGCCCGGGGACA
This is a long non-coding RNA of Vicugna pacos (alpaca), 837 nucleotides long. RefSeq lists it as uncharacterized. The record is from RefSeq and is a predicted model, not a curated record. Lineage: Eukaryota; Metazoa; Chordata; Mammalia; Artiodactyla; Camelidae.